RNAcentral lists this non-coding RNA (158 nucleotides) under Bacillus sp. (in: firmicutes). Its description in RNAcentral is "Bacillus sp. SAM-I sequence". It matches the Rfam family "SAM riboswitch aptamer (S box leader)". Rfam says of the family: The SAM riboswitch is found upstream of a number of genes which code for proteins involved in methionine or cysteine biosynthesis in Gram-positive bacteria. Lineage: Bacteria; Bacillati; Bacillota; Bacilli; Caryophanales; Bacillaceae. The record is from RNAcentral. RNAcentral also lists the same sequence under 1 other name.
CUCUUAUCAAGAGCAGGCGGAGGGAGAUUGGCCCGAUGAAGCCCAGCAACCGACCGUAAUACCGUUGUGAAACGGGGCGCAGAGAAUAUGCGCCGGGAUUUUCCCGCAAGGCACGGUGCUAAUUCCAUUCAGAAAGGAUUCUUUCUGAGAGAUGAGAG